This 8997-nucleotide long non-coding RNA is filed under the name Brachypodium distachyon (stiff brome). RNAcentral describes it as "long non-coding RNA (BDIS_LNC005839)". The stretch from base 8444 to 8642 matches the Rfam family "MIR1435 microRNA precursor family". Lineage: Eukaryota; Viridiplantae; Streptophyta; Magnoliopsida; Poales; Poaceae. The record is from RNAcentral.
UUGCACGUAUAAAUAAGGAAUUGCGCAUCCCUGAAAGUUGCGACUCUCUUAACAUGUCUGUACCUCUGCAAGAGAAACACAUUUAUAAAUAUCAGAAUUCAAUCUGAGUUCAUUUGGUUUGUCAUAUGAAAUAAUCUUUCCAAGUUAACAUUGCGUGAGCAAGUAAAAGGAUGCGCAGUUGCUCAAACAGUGGCUUAUCCGGGAGAAUCCACAAAUAUUCUUUAUUUCCUUUAAUACAGGCCCUCGUUUUUAUUCCACUGUUCUUUUUUUCUAAUGAUGAAAGACUAAUGUCUUCCUUCAUAACUUUUCCCUUUUUUUUGCCCAGCUGUCAAACACACAUAAUUAAAUCCAAAGUCCUUUUCUAUGUCUCCUUUCCUUUCGUGGUUUUGCUUUCCAUCAUUAACUUGCUCUAGUCUUUGACUAUCUCCUGGAUCAAUCACGAACUGAUGUGCACGAUUGUUUCAUUUAGCCUGCCGCACACGAAUCUGGCUCCAAUUCUUCUGUCUGUCAUUGUUUUCUUACCUCCUUCCUCUGCAGCUCGUGCUCCUUUCCAGGCCCCCCUUGCUUACUGGCACUACAUGUGGCGUGUACAUGCCCAUAGCUUUGCAAUCACGUGCUGCAGCUGCCACAACUUUUUGCUUCACCUCCAUCAUUGAAUCAAGCUCCUACGCCAUGGAGAGCCUCACAUCCACGUUUGGCUGCACCGACUCUGCCUCCUAUUGCUCCUCCUUUGUGACUUCUUUCACGUGUUCUUCUCCUUCCUCCAGGGUUCGCACUCGUGGCACACUCAUGAUAGCCAGAAAAUCUUGGCGAAAAGCAGCAAUCCUCAAUUUGUUAUUUUGCUUACAAAUAUCAGUGCUCAUGGCUUUCACCAAGCUGGCCAGGUUGCCCUGAUUUUUGUCUUGCACUUUGGAAGCCAUGGCGAUCAGCUCAUAACUACCAUGCUGAAGAUAGCCAGAUUGCUGUGGGGAACUAGAUACACAUAUACUAGAUUGGUUCUUUCUUCUUUUCUUAAACCUUUCCAGGAUACAUGACAUCCUUAUAUACUGAAUGCUUAAAGUGGUGCCUAAAGUACCUCUAAUCUCCCUCAGUUCAGAACCCCUUCUGCUACAGCAGAUAUCCUCCGUACGUUGCGGCUACAGGACCAUGUAGAAAGUGUAAAUGUUGAUGCGCUUACAUGUUACAGAUGAGUUUUGUGAAACUGAUAUGCAUGGUGUGCUUACCUUGAUUUAACUCAGUAGUAUGGUCAUGAAAAAAAUCCGUGCAAUAAAACUAUAGUUAUGGUAGAUUUAUAAAACUGAUAUGCAUAGAGUCCAAAAUUAAUUUACAGUUGCUUGUUUUCAAACUUCAAUAAAACUAUAGUUAUGGUAGAUUUAGAGCGUAAGCGUGUAAAACUUGUUUCAUUAAAUGAUAUCCUAAAUCCAAAUUAUUGCUUGCUUAUUUAGACAUGAUUAGAUUUCAUAAACUUUGGGUUUUCAGAAUCUUGACUUAUGAGGACAUGAAUAUGAACUCUUGCUUUUGUUACAAGCUACAACAGUUUUUGAAGUCACACUCUGUUGGGUUAAUGAACUGAAUGUGCCUUUUUUUUUUGCAAUGCAUGUCCUGGACAUUUAUUCAGGAAUUUGGUCGGAAAAUAGAUAAUAUGCCUCCAAUCUUACUAUCUGUAGUGUUCUAAACUUAAUAUUUUUAUAUUUCUUAGAUAUUAGUUGAUCAAAUGCAACAGCCUUUUGUUUUGUUAUAUGAUUCUGAAGUUUUUCCAAAUAUAUGUCGUCUAAUUUUAACGUUUGUUGCAGCUCACUUAUGCACCAAGAAUACACACUGCAUUUUCCGGGCCUGCAGUUUAUUCAAGGUUUAAAGAUGAUCGUUUACAUGCAUGCAAGGAGGAUGCCAAGUUUACCUGGGUCAGAGCACUUGAUUUUACACCUAACCAAUCUUUUGGGAAGUGUUCCACUCUUGUCAUAAAACUGGAUGAAGAUGCACUCAUGUCGUAUAUUCUCAAUACCUUACCUUUCUCGGGAGUGCUAGGGGAAUUGGCCAUUUCUUCGAUGGAUGUUGUUGGACCCUCGUCCAAAGCGGUUCCCCUUGUUGACUGCCCGCAUGGCUGUUCAGUAUCUUAUGAAGUUCUUUUUCGACUCAACUCUCUUGUUCACAUGGGGAAGAUAGUUGCAAAACAUGUAAAUGCUAAGCUGUUUGCAUUUCUUGAGCAAGUACCACUUCAUAUUUCAAGGAGGAUUUUCGAGAAAAUGAGCAAGUUAGAGUCUACGUGCUACGAACCUCUGCAAUUCAUCGAGUCUGAACUAAAGCUAACCCACAACGCUUUGCUGUCCAGUAAGAGGGAAGGUGAAGGAAAAUUAAUGAGGUGUUACAGAAUUCACAUUACUCCGUCAAAAAUAUACUGCUUGGGACCUGAGGAAGAAGCUUCAAAUUAUGUGGUUAAGCAUCAUUCUGAGUAUGCUUCUGAUUUUGUUAGAGUUACUUUUGUUGACGAAGACUGGAGUAAGCUUAGUGUUAAUGCAAUCUCAGCUAGAAUUGAACAAGGGUUCUUUUCUCAACCCUUCAAAACUGGCCUGUAUUACCGCAUUUUAUCCAUUCUUAAAGAAGGAUUUAUCAUUGGCCCAAAGAAGUUUGAAUUCUUGGCCUUCUCUGCAAGUCAACUUCGUGAAGGUUCUGUUUGGAUGUUUGCUUCUAAUGAUUCGUUGAAUGCAGAGAGUAUAAGAAGGUGGAUGGGCCACUUUGAAGAAAUUCGUUCAGUGUCGAAGUGUGCGGCUAGAAUGGGCCAGCUGUUCAGUUCUUCCAGGCAAACGGUUGAAGUCCGACCAUGGGAUGUGGAAGAGAUUCCAGAUAUUGAAGUCACAACUAAUAACACAAAAUACAUAUUUUCUGAUGGUAUUGGGAAGAUGUCUGUGAGAUUUGCCAGAGAAAUUGCUUACCGAAUUGGACUAGAUCAUACUAACCCUCCUUCAGCUUUUCAAAUAAGGUUUGGUGGCUACAAAGGAGUGAUUGCUGUUGACCCUUCUUCCUUUCGCAAUCUUUCUCUGCGACCUAGUAUGAGGAAAUUUGAAUCAGAUUGCAGGAUGCUUAACAUUACAAGUUGGAGCAAGUCCCAGCCAUGCUACGUGAAUCGAGAAAUUAUCUCUCUCCUUUCAACUUUGGGGAUAAGAGAUGAGGUAUUUGAGUUAAUGCAACAAGAUGAUAUGCGUGAAUUAGAUGAAAUGCUAACCAACAAAGAAGUUGCUUUGUCAGUCCUGGGGAAAAUUGGCAGUGCCGAAACUAAGACAGCAGCGGAUAUGUUGCUACAAGGUUAUGAACCAAUUUCCGAGCCAUACCUGUUGAUGAUUCUCAAAGCCCAUCAGGAUAAUAGGUUGACUGACAUAAGAUCUAAAUUUAAGAUUCAUGUCCCAAAAGGCCGUGUUCUUCUUGGUUGUUUGGAUGAGACAGGUAAAUUAAAAUAUGGUCAAGUUUACAUCAGAAUUACAAAGAACAACAAAGAGCAGAAAGAGAAUGAACAACCUUAUUUUUCUGAAGAUGAUGGGAAAACAGUCACUCUUGUUGGAAAAGUUGCAGUCUCGAAAAAUCCCUGUCUCCAUCCUGGUGAUGUCAGAGUUCUUGAAGCUGUCUAUGACCCUGGAUUGCAUGCUAAGAAGCUAGUUGAUUGUGUUGUCUUCCCUCAAAGAGGAGAAAGGUAUGCCAUAUAUGAUACUUAAACUGAAAGAUGAUCUUCAAAGUCUGAAUUAAUCCAUUUGAUCGAAGUUGUCAAUGCUUGCAUUUUUCUUACUUUAAUAUUUUGUGUUAAUUAGGCCUCAUCCAAAUGAAUGCUCUGGGGGCGAUUUGGAUGGUGACCUCUAUUUUGUCACUUGGGAUGACAAACUGAUUCCAGAGAAGGCUGACGCACCUAUGGACUACACUGGAGCAAGGCCACGUAUAAUGGAUCAUGUUGUUACACUCGAGGUAUGUUCCUGACUGCUUAUUCAUUUUUAUUUCCUUUUGGUUGUUGUUGCUAAUUUACUGAGGUAUUAUUCCAGUUGACCAGUAUCAGUUUUCUAUAGUUGCAAAUAUCAUCUUAGGAUUAGUAUUUUUAUGAAUUGUAGCAUUUCAAUCAUAUAGAUGUUGUUGACGUAAUGACGUCACAUCUUUGUAAAACACGUCUGUGCAUACCAAAAACUGAGAAAAAUGCACUAGGGCAAUAAGUGCACACACUUGAUGAAACAUGUGGUCCUAAUAGCGCGACACCAAAGAGAACUGGUUGCUAUCUUCCGAGUUCCGACUGAACUAGGAUGGCAUGGCAGCCAACGAGAAAUUUUCAAUGCUUUGAACCAAGUAUAUGCUCGCCAUAUACGGUCAACAAUGUUCUGUAGAAAUACGAGUACUCCUUUCAGAAAAAGAACAAAUUUUGCUGUCUGCCAACAAAAAAUUGUGCCUGAUUGUGUUUUAGGCCUUUCGCCAAAUCUUGGCUUUAAAGUGGUCUUCAUGGAAUGUUAAUCCCUAACCUUGCUAGGUUCACAAUUAUUUACUACCACCAAUCGGCCGUUCAAAGUUGUGUCUUGGACUAGUAACUGCAUUUUCCUCUAUGAUAGUUGUACCUGGAUUCUUACAAAGGCAUCUGAUUAACUGCAGGAAAUUCAGCAGCACGUCGUCAAUUACAUGCUAAGUGACUCACUCGGUGCUAUCUCAAAUGCUCACCUGAUCCAUGCGGACCGUGAUCCGAUGAAAGCUCGGAGUCCCGAGUGCCUCCAGCUCGCUGCUCUGCAUUCGAUGGCAGUCGACUUCGCCAAGACAGGAGCUCCAGCUGAAUUGCCUCGAUCACUGAGACCGAGGGAGUUCCCUGACUUCAUGGAACGAUGGGACAAACCGAUGUAUAUCUCAAAUGGUGUUCUCGGCAAGCUCUACCGAGCAGCUGUGAGCCGUAUGGAGAGCUCACAUGCUCUCGCAUCCCAAGUUCAAUCGAGCCCAACGUACGAUCGUGAGCUUGCGGUCCCUGGCUUUGAGGAAUUCCUGGAAGACGCAGAGAAGCACUACGACUUGUACGUGGAGAAGCUGACCACCCUGAUGAACUACUACGGCGCGGAGCAUGAAGACGAGAUCCUGACCGGCAACAUCCGGAACAGGCUGCUGUACCUGAGGAAGGACAGGAAGAGGUACUCUGACAUGAAGGACCGGAUCUUCGACUCGGUCAACGCCCUGCAUGAGGAGGUGCGGGGCUGGUUCAAGAACUGCCUGAAGGCGGAGGAGGAGGCGUCGAGGGUGGCGUCGGCCUGGUACCGUGUGGCAUACCACCCGGACCACCGCCGGCCGGAGAAGAAGCAGUUCUGGAGCUUUCCGUGGAUCAUCUGCGACAAGCUGCUAGCGAUCAAGGCGACUAAGUCCAACCGCUGCAGGAAACUAGUGGGCGUCGCAACGGGGGUGGACCCGAUGGACUGCGUCCCAGCGAAGCGUAUGCGCAGGAUAUAGUAAGUGGACUAUUCAGCUGCCUAAACUCCAAACGCUAUCGUGUUGUCGUUGGCUAGUCUUUGCCACCUUAUCCUCCAUCCUAUGAGAGGAGAUCCGUUGUUGGUUGAAUUUUGUAUAUAGUACAAUCUCUGCGUAAGUUAUCUGACAACGGAGAACUGAACAGAGCAGCCGAACUCGCCUGAAAUGAACGGGGAGAAUGUUAGGUAUGCUCGCGGUUAAUCAUGCUCCAUCACUAUAUUUAACGUGGCUUUGUGUCGAAUUCUGGUCGAUGGCAUGAGUACCUAACGAUCGGAAAUCCGUAAAGCAGUCCGAGCGCAGUUAAGCUCGGUAUCGGAAAUUCUGUAUGUUGUUGGAGCAUGCACAGCUGCAGAUGACCGAUGACUAUUUUAUACUCGUCCCAAAAUGACUUUUAUGUAUAUGUACUAGACGAUUUUUAGGCGUAGGCAUAGAUACAUUCAUGUUUGGAUAAAUUUGAGUCACUGCUCCGUCAGUCAGUAGGAUGAACUCAACAAUGCAACCGUCAGUGUCUUGGAGCAGCCGGCAGACGGGCAUGUGAAACUAUUCCGUAUUUUUUUUUGAGGGAAAAAACUGCUCCGUAUUAGCUAAGCCGUUACGCAAGGGACACCACCUCGCCGGCCGGCCCCGUAACCGUGGCCUCUUCCAGCUUUUGCAAAAAGAAAGCCAAAGUCGGCAGCUCGUGUUCUUUCAAAAAAAACACUCGGCACCUCGUCUCCUUUUUGGCUGCGCCUCUCCGUUCAUAUCCGGGGCACGUUUGGGGAAUGGCUCGGCCUCGCCGAUGUGUGGACAUCAGCUCUCUUGGGCCACGGGCAUGGCACUGUUGAAUGCGCAUUCACGCUCACGUCUUGGGAGAUUUCGAAUAAAAAGGAUGAGUGGUCUUCCGUAACAUCUCAACUCUGCCAUCCAUGAUCGUGGGUCGUCGCAGAUAUAAGUGCGAGGCCGGGGCUGAUAGUGGAAAUGACCUGACCGGGGCAAAGCCAUUUGAGUUCAGUGCUGCCAUGAGACUAGUCUUUCCCUUUUCUUGUUGAUUCAAAAGGACUAUCGGGAAUUUGAACGUGCGCGAGCAGCCUCCAAACACAUGCUCGCGUUCUCUUCUUGUCGACGUGCUCCGGAACUUCCAGGGCUCCUGCAUGCAAUGCAACGGCGAUACAGGCAAUCUUUAAGAGUCCGUACUGCACAAAGACACACAGUGCCCACGACAUAUCUCACGCCGUCGCUACAGACGCGUGCCAUUUGCCACGGAAGGUUGUUUGCCUUCACGAAUGUUGGCGUUGUACGUUGAACAAUUGAACAGCGAGUCCGUCACGUUGAGACUUGAGAGUUGAGACUUACGGCUGGAACGGAGCUCGGAACCGCCCGACCGUUGGCCCUUCGCCGUUACCUCGGCGGUAAACCGCAGCAAAAAAAGUGAAGCACAACGCAAACCCCGCAUGUCCAAGUCCAGUCCAAGCCGUCGUUCCUCCCUCCCACCAAACCCCCAUAGCGUCCUCUGCUCGCAACCUUCAAUUCCGCGUCUCCGGCGGCUAUCCUGGCCGGGCCGAGGUCAGCCAGCGGCGGCCAACGACCGGGAUGCCGGGGCCGGGGGCGCACCUGCUGUACGCCCUGUCGGGCGGGGCGGCGCUCUCGCGGCUCGCGGCGGGGGGCGGCGGCGGCAGACGACGCUUCGGGCCGCACCACUGCGCCGUCUACGCCGCCAACGCCUUCCUCGGCCCGGACCUCGGUUCCUUCGCCGAGUGGCUCGCGUCCUUCCUCCCCUCCGCCUCCGCGGCCGCCGCGGGGGACCUCGCCAUGGCCGUCGUCCACCACCCCUUCUACUACCCGCUCCUCCUCGGCCUCCCGCUCGCCUACCUGUACGCGUGGCUCUCACGGUGGAUCCUCCGCGCUGGCCUCCUCGACGCGCCCGGCGGGGUGGGUAGUGGAACCGAAUCAGAUGUUCCCUCCGUCUUCUCCUCUCCUAAUCUCCGUGCCCCAUUUCUUAAACUAAUCAACUUUUAUGCUGCGGCUAGAUACAUGGUCUUACUGCGAAUCUAAGUCACAUGCGAGAAGAAACUUUGGGAUUGUUAUUCUAUUAAUUCCUACUUAAUUAAGUAGGGCGUCUGUUACCUGUUACUCUGUUAGUACUACUACUUCAUCAUACAGUAGUGCCAACACGUUAAUUCGUUGCCUCCUUUCAUUUUAGUACAAAUGUGAGUAGCAACUAGCAAGUUCUAAGUAGAAUCUCAGCGUACAACUGCAAAUGCUGUCUCCAGAGUGAGAGUUCAGACGCCGUUAAUCAUCUAGCAUUUGUUUGAUAUGUUUCUUUAAUAUCGGUGUUGGUGCAGGUAGCAUUAAGCAAGAGACAGUGCUUCUUGCUUAUCACGGCAGGCUCUCUCUCACACUUCUUCUUGGAUCACUUGUUUGAGGUGAGCAAUCGUUUACACCUUUCUAAAUUAAAGGAAUGUACUCUGUGCUAAGAUAGGUCUUUAUAAAUGGGAGGAGUCAUUAGUUGACAAUUGUGUCCAGUUUAAUAAUGUUAGAGACCGUAGUAUUUCAAAUGAAAGGAUUGUUUUCUGAGGAAAAAUCUCUCUAAAAAACCUUUGCAAACCAUUUUUUAUUAUGAAAUGUACUUGCACAUUUUUUUAGAAGUUAAAUUUAUUAGGUUUGUUUCGAUACAUUAUGUGUUGCAUGCUUAUUCAAAUUAAAAUUUGCCUCACAUAUUUUACAGGAGAAUGGCCAUUCUACAAUGUAUACUUGGAUACUAAGCACUGGUUGGUGGAAAGGCCGUGCUCCUAUCAAUCCAGAUGCAGUGUUUGCUGUUGGCCUUCUUUGCAUUUGCCUAAUCGGGGGAUUUCUGUACAUAAACAGGUGACAAUUUAGCUUUAGGUCAAUUAUUAUGUAUAAAAAAUGUGAAUCUCCGGUUAUAAAAAAGCUUGGCGAUUCUUCAAAAUCCUGAGUCUCUCUAUGAACUACUCCAUCCGUUCCUAAAUAUAAGAAGUCCUAGGUUUGUCCUAAGUCAAACUUCUUCAGGUUUGACCAAGUUUAUAGAAAAAUCUACUAAUACCUACAAUAUAAUUUAAGUACACUAUGAAAAUAUAUAUAAUUACAGAUUUGAUAGAAGUGAUUUGGAGUUGUAGAUUUUGGUAGUUUUUCUAUAAAUGUGGUCAAACUUGAAGAAGUUUGACUUAGGACAAAAUUAGGACUUCUUAUAUUUAGGAACGGAGGUAGCACUAAGUAAUGGUGCACAAUGCAUAACCCUGAUUAGUCUGUUGAUUUAUGCUUGUUGACCCGAGUUUAGUUUCAGAAUGUUGCUUUAUGUUACGAGUCCCUUCCGUGGUUCUCUAAACCUUUAUAUUCUAUACUUUGGCAGAGUGAAGCAUGGAAGGUCAAUGACCGAAAAAUCAAAUCAAUCUUUCUUUCUCAUCCUGGUGAUAGCCACCCUAUACUGUAUGUGGUGUGCCAGUCAAAUAUAUCUGCGAAAUCCACCUCAACCAGCCAUAGGUGAAGAGGCUGAUCUUGGAGUGAUAAUCUUUCUUGCAAUUUACCUUUUUCUCC